GCUGUGGAACUCCUACGGGAGGCAGCAGCGAGGAAUAUUGGGCAAUGGGUUAGCGCCUGAUCCAGCCAUCCCGCGUGAAGGACGACGGCCCUAUGGGUUGUAAACUUCUUUUGUAUAGGGAUAAACCUACUCUCGUGAGAGUAGCUGAAGGUACUAUACGAAUAAGCACCGGCUAACUCCGUGCCAGCAGCCGCGGUAAUACGGAGGGUGCAAGCGUUAUCCGGAUUUAUUGGGUUUAAAGGGUCCGUAGGCGGAUCUGUAAGUCAGUGGUGAAAUCUCACAGCUUAACUGUGAAACUGCCAUUGAUACUGCAGGUCUUGAGUAAAUUUGAAGUGGCUGGAAUAAGUAGUGUAGCGGUGAAAUGCAUAGAUAUUACUUAGAACACCAAUUGCGAGGGCAGGUCACUAAGAUUUAACCGACGCUGAUGGACGAAAGCGUGGGGAGCGAACAGGAUUAGAAACCCCGGUAGUCCUACCACGU
This 480-nucleotide ribosomal RNA is filed under the name uncultured bacterium. RNAcentral's name for it is "bacterial SSU rRNA". It matches the Rfam family "Bacterial small subunit ribosomal RNA", at positions 327 to 800 of the family's 1533-position model. The record is from RNAcentral.